UAAGCUCCUCCAUCUUUGAGUUUGUGAUAUUUAGUCUGAAAGCGAUGCAUGAGAACCACCAGCAUUCCUCGCUCGGAGCUCAAUAUUCCUCAGAUCCCGAAGAUGCUGUAAGAUCUCUUGAAGAAGAUCGAUACCCUUAUCCCCUUUCUUCACGGAGCUAAUACAGUGCUUAAGAAACUCUCUAUCAGCCUCGAGAACUUGCAACCUCUCGUAAACAUUAUCGACCUCCUCGGCAAUUGCAAGCUUCUUGCGAACUGACUUGGAAACAGGUUCAG
This 275-nucleotide unclassified non-coding RNA is filed under the name Hevea brasiliensis (rubber tree). Lineage: Eukaryota; Viridiplantae; Streptophyta; Magnoliopsida; Malpighiales; Euphorbiaceae. The record is from RNAcentral.